CACCCAUUCAUACACUGAUGACAGGAGAACCAUACACAGUGACACCUGCCAUCAGUAACUACCAUUCACACACUGUAGUCGCAUCUACAGGAGCAAUGUUGGGUUGCCCAAGCAAGUGUCUUGCCCAAACAGGUUAGCCGGGCCUGGGAUCGAACCGACAACCCUCUGAUUGGAGGACGACCGUGCUCCCCACUCACCCACAGUUGCCCGUAAUAUUUUCUAUGGCGUGCAAUCGAUUAGUGCUCAUCUAUGAUAAAAUUCAGUGGGAGUGAAUGUAACGGAGUUAAAAAAUUUGCCUCAGAGGUCUUUACAGUCUGUACACAUGUGACAUCCCCUAUCCAGAAACCAUCACAUCGACACAGGAAAAACUCCCUAAACAAUGAAAAAGCAUUCGAUGGAGAGAAUAGAAAAGGGAAGAAACCUCAGCGAUAGCCUGACGUCAAAAAUUGGAGUGUUGAAAUUUCAGGGUUAAAAAUUUCCGAGUUGAUUCAGUGUUGGAGUUAUUUGGCAGAGUUGAUCAUGUCAGUGUUAACCCAACUCCGCAGAGAUGUAAUUAAGCUCCGCCCAUGUCUUUCACCUCUUCGGUUAGAGACAGAGAAGACAAGUCUGCGCCAUUUUCUACCUCUCAUGCAGUACUACACGAAUUCUCUGAUUUCUCCUUGUCUUCUGAGACGUCUGACUCAAGCUUCAGCUCAAGUGCAUCAACUAUAAUCCUAGAUGUUCCUAACAAGAGACAAAGAAUUGAGGAUACACGUGAUGCUGUGUCUGCUAAACAGAAGCUGUGCUCAGAGGCAAGUCUGGAGGUGAAGAUGUACUACAGGAGUACCAAACAACAGAAACCCUAACAGAUGCUGCAAGAAGACAAAUGGUUAAUAUCCUGGUGGCUCACAUGAUUGACAAUCAUGGGUAUGUUUGUUUCACAUUGUUUUUAUUUGUGCCAAAUAAAUGCAUGACCAUUGCAUAAAUGUACAAAUUUACUAAUUUAAUAUCUCCUCUCAGGCACUGCCCCACUAAAACAAUCAGAGAAGAUUAUGCACGUGGGAUAGUGAUGCUGUUCCCUUCCCUUAAGGAUCCAUACUCCAAGAAGGGCUAUGUAAUAGGCAUUAUUAUUGUUUAAACUUUCAUGUCUUGUUGUGACCCAAAACUGUGUGGAUGACAUUGAUAUUUGAAUUCCGUGAGAUUUCUCAUGAGCCUGGUAUUACAACACAUUUCUUUUUUUCAUUUCAGGAACACUUCUAUGAUGCUGCAAGCAGCACAGGAUACAUUUCUUGGCGUCUGAAAACAGUCCAGAGAAAGAUUCGUCAAGGAUCUGCACAGCCACCAAAUGGCCCAAUUGACUUUUCUCCAGGAGGCCCAAAUUGCCAAAGGACUGUUAAUGUUGAACGGCAGCUUGAUGAUGAUGCUUGCCAAGAGGCCAUGUCUUUGCUUAACCAUACAGCAGACAAUUUCCUGAUUUUCCAGAAGAUGAGAGAGACCUUUCAGCAUCGUCAGAAGCUUGUUAAUGACCCAGGCAGAAGUGUUGAUAUACUCUCCAGCUUCCCAAGAUUCCUGGAUACAAAAGGAUUGGUGGACCAAGACUUCCCUCUCCUAUUUGACGAAGACACAUCCUCCAGACUUCUUCAGAAAUGGGAUUUGUUCUUCAAGCCAAAUGUCAUUAAAGAGGCUAAGCGGCUCCUUUCACCACCUCCAGGGGGACUGAAGUCUCCAAAAAUUAGUGCAUGUGAUGCAGUUGAAAGUAUUUUAUAAGUCAUGCUGCAGUUUGGAGGAGCAUCUCCGCAACCAGCAGGGUCGGCAGCCGUACCUCCUCGCUGUUGGGCGUCAGAGGAGCAAGAUUGACAGCUUCUACAUCACCAUAGAUCUCUCGUCUCAUCCCAUGCAAGGCAAACCGCUCCCUCGGGGCAUGUGAUGAACUUUUCAAAGCACAUUUUGUGUUUAAUUUGUCUUACGAUGUGGCACGUGUGAAUUUUUAUACAUUCCUGCAGACAACAGUGUAUAACAUUGAUGUGGGGAAAAUUAAGGAGUCACCCAGAGUUAAAGACUUGAGAGCAAGACUGCUUAACCAGCCAGUAGCAUUCUCACCCUGUGAGUAAGAAGCUAUAACAAUGCUGACCUGUUUCAUGUGUUGACAAAUUAGCUAUUUACAGAGAAUUUUUAUGACCAUCAUCAUGCAUUCAGAGUAUUACGAAGUGCGGAAAGAUGUUUACUAAAAAUGUCUGGGCUUAAAUUUCAUAAACCGUUUCAUAGUCAAAGCUCAUACAAUGUUUUGGAUGAAAGUUUGUACAUUAUACCUUCAUUCACAAUGUUUUAAUUCAACUGACUGCAAGGGAGAAAAGGAAUACAUGUUUUUGAAAAUGUUUUUGUUUAUUGUGAUGAAUUCUUAUUAAUAUAAGUAUAUAUAUUUAAUUAAUACAUUUAAAAUUAAUUAACAUUUUUUCAGUGUAGAUAAUUGACAUUAGGGAGUGUAAUUAACACUACCAAAAUAGUUAAAAAAAUUAACUCGGAGCAGUGUUAGUUGUCUAAUCCCUCAGUGUUACUUUACACUGUUUUGUGAGUUAAUAAAGGAACUCUGGUAGAGUGUUAAAUGUUUAACUAUUUUGAAAGUGUUAAUUUAACUCUGGAGAGUGUGGAGCUAAAUAAACUCUCAAAAAGUGUUGAAAUCAACUCUGUGGGAGUUAACUCAACACUGGACACUUUGCUGAUAUAUAUAUAUGUAUGUACAUAUAUAUAUAUAUAUAUAUAUAUAUAUAUAUAUAUAUAUAUAUAUAUAUAUAUAUAUAUACAUAUAUAUAGGUGAUAUAUAGGUGAUGCUCUGUGUUCAUGGAUGGAGAUGGCAUCGUUCUCUCCAUGUGCCACAUCCCAAUACAAACAGCAGGGUUGUUGCCAUUGUGACGACCUGCUUACCUUUAAAGCAUGUGACACCCUCCGUCCUUAGACCCUCGUUCAUGUGAGGAAGGAACCUAUAGAAGGACUAUAGAACAGCUUUAUCCUCUAGCAGAAGGCACCAGAUAAUAGGCGGGUAAACACACGUUUUCAUCUCAGUGUGGUGAUCUAUGAAAAGUAAUUGAAUGACAUGUUACAGGACUGUUGCAGGUGCAGACCCCACAAUGAGAUGAAGCCUUUUUAAAGUCAGACUUUAUGCAUGAAGGGUUGUUUAUACUUGGUCCUGUAAAACGAUCUGAAUAUGUCUAAUGUUGACUGCUGUGAUAUGAUGGCAUCGCCUGGUUCUAUCUAACACAGAGCCCGAGUUGGCUUUGGUACGUCAGGUCAGGUGAUCUUCCUAUCGGAGACCAAUAAAGAUGAUGUCAUCACCAAGUAGCCCUGUGAGUUCUCCUGAAGAAGCUGCUGGUGGAGUUUCGCCGUGUCAGUAUGAGCACAUGAGAUUCCUAGGUGCUUUAGCAACGGCUACUUAAGCCUACAGAUGAUUUGUGUUUGUCGCUGUCUCCUUUUAUCUUUCCAUAUGUGUGAUUUAAUGUCAAAAUGUCUGUAAAUUGUAUGGAAUCAGUAACCAAUCACAACAUGGAAUGUGGGAUUGACUUCAGUUAAAGAGUAUCAAAAAAUAGCUUUCAUACAUCACAUUUUUCUUGUCUUUUUGCCAAAAAGAAGUAAACAUUAAAUGGAACAUCGCUGUCAAAUAAAAGCAGCACUACAUCGGCUCUAGAGCUUGAAGGAAGGACGGUAAAAGUUUGGAUUUGUUGUAAUCUGUAACCUCACCGAUGGAAUAGCGAGAUCCUACAUUGGAACUACCAAACCACUCGCUGACCCUUUUUCAAAUGAGACUAUAUGGUGUAUGUGUGGUUGGUUAAUGAGGAGUAGCAGUAACCAAACAGAAC
Gasterosteus aculeatus aculeatus (three-spined stickleback) is the source of this 3830-nucleotide long non-coding RNA. The record is from Ensembl. Lineage: Eukaryota; Metazoa; Chordata; Actinopteri; Perciformes; Gasterosteidae.